This 443-nucleotide ribosomal RNA is filed under the name uncultured bacterium. Its description in RNAcentral is "partial 16S ribosomal RNA". It matches the Rfam family "Bacterial small subunit ribosomal RNA", at positions 355 to 790 of the family's 1533-position model. The record is from RNAcentral.
UAGGGAAUCUUCCACAAUGGACGCAAGUCUGAUGGAGCAACGCCGCGUGAGUGAAGAAGGCUUUCGGGUCGUAAAACUCUGUUAUUGAAGAAGAACGUGUGUGACAGUAACUGGUCAUGCAGUGACGGUAUUCAAUCAGAAAGUCACGGCUAACUACGUGCCAGCAGCCGCGGUAAUACGUAGGUGGCAAGCGUUGUCCGGAUUUAUUGGGCGUAAAGCGAGUGCAGGCGGUCUUUUAAGUCUGAUGUGAAAGCCUUCGGCUUAACCGAAGAAGGGCAUCGGAAACUGGGGGACUUGAGUGCAGAAGAGGAGAGUGGAACUCCAUGUGUAGCGGUGAAAUGCGUAGAUAUAUGGAAGAACACCAGUGGCGAAGGCGGCUCUCUGGUCUGUAACUGACGCUGAGGCUCGAAAGCGUGGGUAGCAAACAGGAUUAGAUACCCUGG